GGGAACUUUCCCAGGCCCCGAGGCGGAUCGGGUGUUGAGUCCAUGGAGCGAGCUGAGAGCUAGAGUACAGAACCUGCUAAGGCCAUCAAACCUAUCGAUCGGAAGUCAGUCCAUCAGAUUUGCUCUGGGCCGGUGGUACUGAGUCUAAGCACUGUGGUGAAGGAGUUAGUAGAAAACAGUUUGGAUGCUGGUGCCACCAAUAUUGAUCUAAAGCUUAAGGACUAUGGAGUGGAUCUCAUUGAAGUUUCAGACAAUGGAUGUGGGGUAGAAGAAGAAAACUUUGAAGGCUUA
RNAcentral lists this long non-coding RNA (291 nucleotides) under Pan troglodytes (chimpanzee). Its description in RNAcentral is "long non-coding RNA NONPTRT015684". Lineage: Eukaryota; Metazoa; Chordata; Mammalia; Primates; Hominidae. The record is from RNAcentral.